Sapajus apella (tufted capuchin) is the source of this 1065-nucleotide long non-coding RNA. RefSeq lists it as uncharacterized. NCBI's taxonomy places the organism in Eukaryota, Metazoa, Chordata, Mammalia, Primates, Cebidae. The record is from RefSeq and is a predicted model, not a curated record. The transcript has 4 exons.
CCUUGUUGCUAAGGACCGGGCGGUUUGCGGCAACCGUGGGCACUGCUGAGUUUGAAUUGAGGGGCGAGGGAAAAGUUUUCCUCAGAAAUCCUCACCCAGAAGUCUCUGACCUUCUUGAGACUGGUGGAAAGAAAAACCCUGGGAUUCCACAAAAACUCAAGACCAAACCUACUGACUGGUGCCCUCUCUAAGAAACAAAAUUGUAAUUUUCCUUGAAGUGGACAGCCUGGAAUUCCUCUGCACACUCAGUCAUGUGGACAGAGAGACCGAGUUACUGCAACUUGCUUCUUAAUGUAUAUGAAUUUCUUAGUUAAUGCAACAGAAUCUACUGAGUAGCUUCCACAUAAAAAGAACUCUGUCUGGAACUGGAAAGGUGCCUUGGGAUUGGGGACGGAGCUCUUGAUUUCUGAAGCCAUGUUACUGAUGGCUACGAUGUCCCGUGCUAGCACUUUCCAGCCAGCGAUUGCUGUAUGUCAACCUGCCAAGGCUCUCAUUCCUGCACUCUGCCAACCUGCCUGGGUAUCCUCCUGUAAGACUUCUGAUGAGCAUUUAGAAGACAUACACUUACCAACCCUUCCCAGGUGUGAAACCCCAUGGAAAGACUGGCAUAUUUGCUACUUAAUGCAAUCUCCUCUUUACAACUAAUCCUCCGAGACAGGUUUCACAGGUGGAGAGUCACAACCUCUGAUUGACUUCAGUAUUUUUUAGUUGGUGUGCAGUAAUGGUACGUAUUUAUGGAAUUCAGAGUGAUAUUUUAUUACAUGUGUACAAUGUAUAGCAAUCAAAUCAGGGUAAUCAGUACAUCCUUUACCUCAAACAUUUAUAACUUCUUUGUGUUGUGAAUAUUCAAAGUCUUCUGUUCUAGCUUUUUGAAAAAUGUAAACUAUUAUCAACCAAAUUCACCCUUCAGUGUUACAGAACACUAGAACUCAUUCCUCCAAUCUAGCUACAAUUUUGUAUCUAUUAACCAACUUCUCCCUAUCCUCUCCUACCCUCACCCUUCCCAGCCUCUAAUAACCACAAUUCUAUUCCUUACUUCUAUGAGCUCAAGAUUUUUAAAAAUUC